UGGGGAAUUUUGGACAAUGGGCGAAAGCCUGAUCCAGCAAUGCCGCGUGUGUGAAGAAGGCCUUCGGGUUGUAAAGCACUUUUGUCCGGAAAGAAAUCCUUGGCUCUAAUACAGUCGGGGGAUGACGGUACCGGAAGAAUAAGCACCGGCUAACUACGUGCCAGCAGCCGCGGUAAUACGUAGGGUGCAAGCGUUAAUCGGAAUUACUGGGCGUAAAGCGUGCGCAGGCGGUUUGCUAAGACCGAUGUGAAAUCCCCGGGCUCAACCUGGGGAACUGCAUUGGUGACUGGCAGGCUAGAGUAUGGCAGAGGGGGGUAGAAUUCCACGUGUAGCAGUGAAAUGCGUAGAGAUGUGGAGGAAUACCGAUGGCGAAGGCAGCCCCCCUGGGGCCAAAUACUGACGCUCAUGCACGAAAGCGUGGGGAGCAAAACAGGAUUAGAUACCCUGGUAGUCCACGCCCUAAAACGAUGUCAACUAGUUGUUGGGGAUUCAUUUCCUUAGUAACGUAGCUAACGCGUGAAGUUGACCGCCUGGGGAGUACGGUCGCAAGAUUAAAACUCAAAUGAAUUGACGGGGUCAUA
RNAcentral lists this ribosomal RNA (581 nucleotides) under uncultured bacterium. RNAcentral describes it as "partial 16S ribosomal RNA". It matches the Rfam family "Bacterial small subunit ribosomal RNA", at positions 355 to 923 of the family's 1533-position model. The record is from RNAcentral.